RNAcentral lists this ribosomal RNA (253 nucleotides) under uncultured bacterium. Its description in RNAcentral is "partial 16S ribosomal RNA". It matches the Rfam family "Bacterial small subunit ribosomal RNA", at positions 524 to 776 of the family's 1533-position model. The record is from RNAcentral.
AACGUAGGAGGCGAGCGUUAUCCGGAUUUACUGGGCGUAAAGCGCGUGUAGGCGGCACGAUAAGUUGGAUGUGAAAGCUCCCGGCUAAACUGGGAGAGGACGUUCAAUACUGUCGAGCUUGAGGAUGGGAGAGGGAGGUGGAAUUCCGGGUGUAGUGGUGAAAUGCGUAGAUAUCCGGAGGAACACCAGUGGCGAAGGCGGCCUCCUGGCCCAUUUCUGACGCUCAGACGCGAAAGCUAGGGUAGCAAACGGG